UUAACAUCCCAGUCUACCUGGGCCCCAAAUAUGUCUGUAACUCCCAUGAGAAGAUAAUCCUCUGAAAGGAAAAGAGAACACCUGUAUACCUUCUUUUCUUUCUUCUUCUCCCACCCAAGCAUCUACCACACUGCCAGAUAUGUAUGAUGUUACCCAAAGGAGUUCUACAGAUGUGGAUUUCUCAGAGAACCAAGAAGAUGAGUGCAAGAAGCCAGGAACUGCGUCAUUCCUACAUCAUUAGAGUAUUUUCCUGUGUCACCUCCAGAGAAGAGGCUAUCAGAGCUUCCCUAUAAGUUUUGGGAUCCUUACUCCUACACUAAGGAAAAACUUCUCUGAGGUAGCACUUCCCAAAUUAGAACCCAUUGUAUUAACAUAAGCUAUUGCUUAUAUGCCAAA
Herpailurus yagouaroundi (jaguarundi) is the source of this 396-nucleotide long non-coding RNA. RefSeq lists it as uncharacterized. Lineage: Eukaryota; Metazoa; Chordata; Mammalia; Carnivora; Felidae. The record is from RefSeq and is a predicted model, not a curated record. The transcript is spliced from 2 exons.